AAUCCAUAGGUUAAUGAGGCGAACCGGGGGAACUGAAACAUCUAAGUACCCCGAGGAAAAGAAAUCAACCGAGAUUCCCCCAGUAGCGGCGAGCGAACGGGGAGGAGCCCAGAGCCUGAAUCAGCAUGUGUGUUAGUGGAAGCGUCUGGAAAGGCGCGCGAUACAGGGUGACAGCCCCGUACACAAAAGCGCAUGUGCUGUGAGCUCGAUGAGUAGGGCGGGACACGUGGUAUCCUGUCUGAAUAUGGGGGGACCAUCCUCCAAGGCUAAAUACUCCUGACUGACCGAUAGUGAACCAGUACCGUGAGGGAAAGGCGAAAAGAACCCCGGCGAGGGGAGUGAAAAAGAACCUGAAACCGUGUACGUACAAGCAGUGGGAGCACCCUUUGGGUGUGACUGCGUACCUUUUGUAUAAUGGGUCAGCGACUUAUAUUCUGUAGCAAGGUUAACCGAAUAGGGGAGCCGGAGGGAAACCGAGUCUUAACCGGGCGUUAAGUUGCAGGGUAUAGACCCGAAACCCGGUGAUCUAGCCAUGGGCAGGUUGAAGGUUGGGUAACACUAACUGGAGGACCGAACCGACUAAUGUUGAAAAAUUAGCGGAUGACCUGUGGCUGGGGGUGAAAGGCCAAUCAAACCGGGAGAUAGCUGGUUCUCCCCGAAAGCUAUUUAGGUAGCGCCUCGUGAAUUCAUCUCCGGGGGUAGAGCACUGUUUCGGCUAGGGGGCCAUCCCGGCUUACCAACCCGAUGCAAACUGCGAAUACCGGAGAAUGUUAUCACGGGAGACACACGGCGGGUGCUAACGUCCGUCGUGAAGAGGGAAACAACCCAGACCGCCAGCUAAGGUCCCAAAGUCAUGGUUAAGUGGGAAACGAUGUGGGAAGGCCCAGACAGCCAGGAUGUUGGCUUAGAAGCAGCCAUCAUUUAAAGAAAGCGUAAUAGCUCACUGGUCGAGUCGGCCUGCGCGGAAGAUGUAACGGGGCUAAACCAUGCACCGAAGCUGCGGCAGCGACACUGUGUGUUG
RNAcentral lists this ribosomal RNA (1021 nucleotides) under Salmonella enterica. RNAcentral describes it as "partial 23S ribosomal RNA". It matches the Rfam family "Bacterial large subunit ribosomal RNA", at positions 161 to 1223 of the family's 2925-position model. RNAcentral also lists the same sequence under 1 other name. The record is from RNAcentral. Lineage: Bacteria; Pseudomonadati; Pseudomonadota; Gammaproteobacteria; Enterobacterales; Enterobacteriaceae.